AGCCUGCCCAGUGACGCUAAAGGUUUAACGGCCGCGGUAGCAUGACCGUGCUAAGGUAGCAUAAUAAUUUGUCCUUUAAUUGGGGACUGGUAUGAACGGCUGAACAAGAAAUCAACUGUCUCUGCUAUAAAUUUUGAAAUUAACGUUUAAGUGAAAAGGCUUAAAUAAAAUAGGGGGACGAUAAGACCCUAUAAAUCUUGAUAGAGAAGAUUAUAACCUUAGAAAGUAGUUACAGUUCUCGGGUUAAGACAUUUUCUAUUUUGUUGGGGCGACAGGAGUAUAAUUAGUAACUGCUUUGGGCUUAAUAUGUAAUUAUCGCUAUUGUGGGUAUUAUGAGAGAUCCUUCUUUGAAGAUGUCAGACUAAGUUACUUUAGGGAUAACAGCGUAAUCUUUCCUUGAGAGUCCAUAUCCGAAAGGAGGGGUUGCGACCUCGAUGUUGAAUUAAAGAACCUUGAUGGUGUAGCAGC
This 468-nucleotide ribosomal RNA is filed under the name Panulirus guttatus (spotted spiny lobster). RNAcentral describes it as "partial 16S ribosomal RNA". It matches the Rfam family "Bacterial large subunit ribosomal RNA", at positions 1856 to 2562 of the family's 2925-position model. Lineage: Eukaryota; Metazoa; Arthropoda; Malacostraca; Decapoda; Palinuridae. The record is from RNAcentral.